RNAcentral lists this ribosomal RNA (423 nucleotides) under uncultured Anaerovorax sp. Its description in RNAcentral is "bacterial SSU rRNA". It matches the Rfam family "Bacterial small subunit ribosomal RNA", at positions 354 to 794 of the family's 1533-position model. Lineage: Bacteria; Bacillati; Bacillota; Clostridia; Peptostreptococcales; Anaerovoracaceae. The record is from RNAcentral.
UGGGGGAAUAUUGCACAAUGGGGGGAAACCCUGAUGCAGCAACGCCGCGUGAGCGAAGAAGUAUUUCGGUAUGUAAAGCUCUAUCAGCAGGGAAGAAAAUGACGGUACCUGACUAAGAAGCCCCGGCUAACUACGUGCCAGCAGCCGCGGUAAUACGUAGGGGGCGAGCGUUAUCCGGAAUUAUUGGGCGUAAAGGGUACGUAGGCGGUUCAGUAAGCAUGAGGUGAAAGGCAAUAGCUUAACUAUUGUAAGCCUUGUGAACUGUUGGACUUGAGUGCAGGAGAGGAAAGCGGAAUUCCUAGUGUAGCGGUGAAAUGCGUAGAUAUUAGGAGGAACACCAGUGGCGAAGGCGGCUUUCUGGACUGUAACUGACGCUGAGGUACGAAAGCGUGGGGAGCAAACAGGAUUAGAUACCCUGGUAGU